UACAGAGACUGCGAGCGUUAUUCGGAUUCACUGGGCGUAAAGGGUGCGCAGGCGGCUAGGUGUGUUAGGCGUGAAAGCCCGAGGCUUAACCUCGGAAUUGCACCUAAAACUACUUGGCUAGAGUACUGGAGAGGGAAACGGAAUUCACGGUGUAGCAGUGAAAUGCGUAGAUAUCGUGAGGAACACCAGAGGCGAAGGCGGUUUCCUGGACAGUUACUGACGCUCAGGCACGAAAGCGUGGGGAGCAAAAGGG
Molecule: ribosomal RNA, 253 nt
Filed under: uncultured bacterium
Lineage: Bacteria
Description: partial 16S ribosomal RNA
Rfam family: Bacterial small subunit ribosomal RNA
Source: RNAcentral